This is a long non-coding RNA of Bubalus bubalis (water buffalo), 2085 nucleotides long. RefSeq lists it as uncharacterized. The transcript is spliced from 2 exons. NCBI's taxonomy places the organism in Eukaryota, Metazoa, Chordata, Mammalia, Artiodactyla, Bovidae. The record is from RefSeq and is a predicted model, not a curated record.
UGAUUCAAUUAUACAUAUAUGUACAUUCUUUUUAAUAUUCUUUUCCAUUAUGAUUUAUCAUAGGAUGUUAAAUAUAGUUCCCUGUGCUAUACAAUAGGACCUUGUUGUUUAUCCAUUCUGUAUAUAAAACCUUACAUCUGCUGACCCCAGCCUCCUACUCCAUUCCUUCCCCAGUGUCCUUUCCCUUGGCAACCACCAGUCUGUUCCGUGUGUCUGUUUCACAGGUUCAUUUGAAAACACGCCUUCUGAUCAGAUACAGUGUGCAGUGGGGCUCCUCUAAUAGAACAUCUAAGGUCACAAUUGUCUCAAAUGAACUGGGACUAUGUUGGCAUCCAUAUUUCACAACUGCCUCUUGUUCCAUCUCCCACAAGCCCCAAGUUGGAGGAUGAGUAUCAGCCAGCCACUAGGAAGGAAGGGACAUGAUGAAAUAAGUCAUCCCAGUCCGGCUGCUGUGUUGCCCGAGUUGUGUUGUUUUACUCUGUGGUGAACAGGGAAGGACCUCAAAUCAAGGAGUAGCUUGAGAGAUUUCCUGUUUUUCCUGUCACUGUUUUUAGGGGAAUGUUAGCAUGUGCCUGCAAGCUAAGUCACUUCAGUCGUGUCUGACUCUUUGCAACCCCAUGGACUGUAGCCCCACCAGGCUCCUCUGUCCAUGGGAUUCUCCAGGAGUGGGUUGCUGUGUCCUCCUCCAGGGGAUCUUCCUGACCCAGGGAUGGAACCCCAUCUCUUAAUGUCUCCUGCAUUGGCAGGCAGGUUCUUUAACACUAACACCACCUGGGAAACCUGAAUGUUAGCAUAUGCUAUUGCUAAUUGGACAAGCAUUCUUUUCCUCUUGAACAAGGCACCUAAAGCCCCAGUUUUUUAGCAGGUUCAAAGCCCACCUCUGUCUGCACUCUUGCCAGUGCAGCACUGUGUGAUUGCCUGUUAACUUCGUUCUCCUCUUUAGUAAUAGACUGUAAAGGAAGGUGAUUAACACAAAAGAAACCUCAAGUUGGUGGGGUUUCUGGCUGGGAGGAUUUUCCAAUUCCUCUGAAAUCACACAUCAGAUAGCCUCCUCCUGCUUCAGGUUGAGUAAAGUGAGUGCUGGGCUUAAGGAGAGCCCUCCAGGUGGGGAGGAGAUAACAGACCCGGGAAUGCUUGCAUCUCCCCACCCCCACUCAGCUCUCUUUUUGCUUAUACCUGAGGCAGGUGGGGUCUUAAAGUAACAGCUUGAUGGUCUGCCCACUGAGAUUGCCUUCCCUGGAUGGACGCCUGGUUUCUUUCUGUCGCAGACUGAGAUCCGUGCCCCUCCACUUCCUGUGUUCACUCUGGCCCCUGGGCUCCUCUUUCUUCUCUGUGGACUGAGAAAGAAGACAUGGGAAAAGGCAGGGUGAUGCCCUGGAGGAGCUGGAAGCUCUGCAGUUCUCACUGGGGUAGGGAGGGGAUAUUCUGAGGGUAGAUUCUGGAUCUUAAAUAUUUGGGAAUCUGAGGGUAGAAGAAAGUGUGUGGAAGAAAAGAAGACAUCCGUCAGAGCUAUAGGAUCUGGAAAAAGAGGUCACAGCACUGCAGUUAGGGGACCUGUGUCCCAGACCUGGUGAAGGGGGUGACAUCAGCCCACAAUGGUGCCUUCAAGUCAGUUGAAAGACUUUUGAUUUUAAUGUUAUACCAAGGGUCCUGCCAGGGAAAUGCAGACCCUUGGUCCUUCGAUAUUCAGCGACCUGGUCUCCUCGUCAGUAAAGACUGUUUUACUAAUAGCAUUAAGAGGUGUCGUCAAUAACAUAGUAGUAAGGAGUAGAGACAGACUUCCACGGCACCCCCACCCAUGUGUCACACCAGCUCAAGAUGUUCUGUCAUCUCAGAGGAGGCAAAACGGCUGCAAUUGUGCAAAAUAUGAUAAACCACAAAACAAAAUAGAACAUGACAUCUGCUCUUUAAAUAGUGAAACCUGAGCUGCAGUGUUAUGGGUUUGGCAAACUUGCUGUGUGCGUAUCAUUCUGAACACUGAAGAUGAAGAUAAACUAUAUGGACUGGCUCCUGCAUUAGAUGAUUCCUUUCCCAUCUCAGUUUGUCUCCAUCAGGGAGUAGAAGUGGGGACGGGUGUGGCAGGAC